CGGAAAGAGAGGGAUUCGAACCCUCGGUACAAAUAACUCGUACAACGGAUUAGCAAUCCGCCGCUUUAGUCCACUCAGCCAUCUCUCCCAAUUGAAAAAAAAAGAUAAUUACUAUGUUACAUUACGCGUAAAGUAAGGAUUAAAAAAGUCUUUCUCUCUCUUUAUCUUUAUAUAGAAUAUAGAUAUGUACAACUUUUAUCAGCAAUUCCAUUUAGAUAAAGUAAGGACUGGAAAGAUCCAAUAUAAAGAAAAAUCAAAAUAAAGAAGACUUAUUUGCUUUGAUUUUAUUCGAAAGAGCCUUUUUUUAUUCC
This 311-nucleotide transfer RNA is filed under the name Rehderodendron indochinense. RNAcentral describes it as "tRNA-Ser". The record is from RNAcentral. Lineage: Eukaryota; Viridiplantae; Streptophyta; Magnoliopsida; Ericales; Styracaceae.